This 96-nucleotide Y RNA is filed under the name Propithecus coquereli (Coquerel's sifaka). RNAcentral describes it as "Y RNA (ENSPCOG00000007849.1)". It matches the Rfam family "Y RNA". From Rfam's summary of the family: Y RNAs are components of the Ro ribonucleoprotein particle (Ro RNP), in association with Ro60 and La proteins. The Y RNAs and Ro60 and La proteins are well conserved, but the function of the Ro RNP is not known. The record is from Rfam by way of RNAcentral. Lineage: Eukaryota; Metazoa; Chordata; Mammalia; Primates; Indriidae.
GGCUGGUCCGAUGGUAGUGGGUUAUCAGAACUUAUUAACAUUAGUGUCACUAAAGUUGGUAUUCAACCCCCCACUGCUAAAUUUGACUGGCUUUNN